UGGCAGGGUAGGAAAGAAAGAAUGGUAAGGAUUCAGGGUCCUUUUACUAGGCUUAACUAGUUAUGACUUCUUUCUCAUUGACCUCCCCAGAGCAAUAAGGAUGAAGGAAUCUGUGCUGCUGAUAAGGACCUCCUCUCCUCCUCUCUCUAAACAAAGGGGAAGAGGAUGAUCAAUCUGACCACUGAAAAUAGUGUGACCAUUUGGAUACAAUCUUUGGAGUAUAGUUUCCAUCUUUUGGCCACAAGCCAUGCCAUUAGGCCUUUUUGAAAAGGAUGAACAAAAAUGAACAACUACUACAAAAAGUACUACUAUAAAUAUUUUGGUGUAUAUGGGAUCUUUCUUCCUAUUUUUGAUGUCCAUGUGAUGUAUGCCUAACAGAGGGAUCUCUGAGUCAAGAGGUUGUGAGCAUUCAUUUCCGGAUCUCAAAGAACCAGCCAUGGAUAGCUCCAGGAUGAGGCCAGAAGCUCUCCCAAGCACAGAGGCUCCUGGAGCAAAGGCCUGUAUGCAUGCCCAAGGAAGGCCUUCUCAAAACUCAGGACCAGAGAAGGGUUCUGAUUCUGUUUUCAAUAGUCUACAUGCAGCAAUCAGGAAAAGAAAAAGAACGCUCCCAACAGAUCAAAGUCAGAACAUCUUAAAAUGGAAAUGAACAUUUAAAAGAGGCCUUUCUCAAGGGAAGCCUUGGCAGUAAAUCAGAGCUUUUGAGAGGCAACUGGGGCCUGUGCUGAUUUUUGAAUAACUCAUCGUUUAAUAAAUGUUCUUUUUUUGUGGCCCUUUGGGGAAAA
This 782-nucleotide long non-coding RNA is filed under the name Monodelphis domestica (gray short-tailed opossum). RNAcentral's name for it is "lncRNA (ENSMODG00000030565.2)". Lineage: Eukaryota; Metazoa; Chordata; Mammalia; Didelphimorphia; Didelphidae. The record is from RNAcentral.